This is a non-coding RNA of Callithrix jacchus (white-tufted-ear marmoset), 5921 nucleotides long. Lineage: Eukaryota; Metazoa; Chordata; Mammalia; Primates; Cebidae. The record is from RefSeq and is a predicted model, not a curated record.
AGGGCGGAGGGGCGGGGCGGGGCGUCGAAGGAGGCGGGACCGGUUACUACUAAUUGUGUUCGGGGGCCCUGGGAGCAGGGGGAAGGCGGGGCUAGAUACCAGAGAGAGAGACCUGAUUGAACUGAAAAAGUGCAGGUGGGGCAGAAGGAGGUGGGGACAAGUCAAAGUUAUUUAAAAGAGCCCGACUGGCCUGGAGGGGCGGGGCCACCAUGAGAGCGGCGGUCCUGAUUGGACUGAGGAAGGGGCGGAGAGAAACAAAAGAGAUGGCCCGCCCUCACCUAAAACACCGCUGGGCAGGACAUGAUGGGGAGGAGCAUUGCUUGGAAGGGGCAGAGCCUCAGAAAGUAGUAAUAGUGUAGAUGUGACUGCUCUGGGGCGGGAACUAGAGACGGAGGACUUUCCCGCGCAAGGGGAACAGGCUGGACUGAAAGGGGACCAGGCUGGACUGAAAGGGGACGGGGGAGGAGAUCAAAGACAGACUCGGUGAGAAGGCGUGGAGACUUGAGAGAGGCCUGAAAACCCGAGAGCGUCUGGAUAGGCCUGAAGGAGGGGGCGAGUAAAGAGGGGCGGGGCUGAGGGUGCAAGGUGGGUCUGGUUAGUCGGGGCUGGGUCCGGAGGAUGAGUGUCCCGUUGGAUCGGUGGGACUGAGGAAGGUGAGUGGGGGUCGACAAACGGAAAACGUUUUGAGGCCGGACGCGGUGGCUCACACCUGUAAUCCCGGCACUUUGGGAGGCCGAGGUGGGUAGAUCAUUUGAGGUCGGGAGUUCGAGACCAGCCUGGUCAAAAUGGUGAAAUCCCGCCUCCACUAAAAAUACAAAACUUAGCCGGGAGUGCUAGUGGGUGCCUGUAGUCCCAGCUACUCGGGAGGCUGAGGCAGGAGAAAUCGCUUGAACCCAGGAGGCAGAGGUUGCAGUGAGUCGAGAUUGCACCACUACCCUCCAGUCUGGACGACAGAGAGACACUCUGUCUCAAAAAAUAAAAAGAUAAAGACUUGAAUGGGCGGUAGGAAGGAGAGACUAAGGGAGGAGCGGGGCUGUGAGGGGCUUAAAGCAACCAGGGCAGGCGAGGGCAGGGCAGAGCUAAGGGAGGGUAGAGGAACAGGAUAGGUGGGUCCCAGAGGAACAGUGGGACUGCAAGGAGUACAAAGCUACUGGGCUGGAUGGAAGAGAGGGACCGGGAACGGGGAGUCUUGGGGAUCAGAGGACCUGGGAGAGGGCACUGCCUAAAGGUCACGGGAUCCUCAAAGGGCGGGGCGAGAACUUCCAACGUAGGCUACACCGCGGAGUACUGCAGAUUGGAGGACCGGGGGUAGAUGAGGACUGGUGAGGAUGCAAGUAGGCAGAGAGGACGGGAGAGGGGAUAGGCAAAAGCGCUAGGAAGAACCGUCAAGACUGAGGCAAUAGGCAGGACCGGUAAAAAAUGAGGUGGGCUAGGAGUCUGAGAGGCCAGGUCCGGGGAAGCGGGUGGCGAAUUAGGGGCGGGUGGCCAGGAAAAGGGACCGCCUCGGAGCAGGCAGGGCCCGCCCCUUGGGCGGUCCUAAGCUCCGGGAAGCAGGGCGCAGGCGCAGGGGGCUGGGGCGGGGCCAGCGGCUGCGGCUGGGGCUGCGGAGGGAGGAGGCGGCGCCUGCGGGAUGAAGAGGGCGGGUCAGAGGGCUGCGGGCGCCCUCGGGCAGCGCAGUUCCUGGCCCUCCGCCUCCCGCUGCAGUUGCGGCGGCCGGUCUCUGUCUCUACUUCUUGGGGACCCUGUCCCCUUCUCUUUGGGUCUCCAUCUCUUUCAGCUCCCCCAUCACCCCCUCUAACCCCCGUCCUGGCUAGGACUGCGUCACUGCAGAGAGAGUUGCAGAAGUGGGGCCUGUCCUGCAGCCCAGGAAGGUCGUUGCCCUCACUCCCCAGACCCAGGGCUCUCCACUGCACCAAUCCACCAUGUCCUCCAGCUUCCGAUGGGACCCAAGAGGGCAGAGAAAAGACAUAGGUACUUCCCGCCCCGAAUUCUGGUGCACCACCAGGCAGAAGCAUCGAAUCCUGAGACAGAAGCCAGGCACAGGAUCAAGUGACCAAAUCAGCGUUUUUUUGCAGAGGUCAGAAGGUAUGGGAGAAGGCAGGGGCUGUGGGGGAAAGGGACUGGAAUAAGGAGCAAUGUGCGAUGCGACUCAGGAUUAGAGGCCCUGGGAGGGGAAGAGGCAGCGGGCUGGGAUAGCAGGCUGGUCCACACUCCAUCAGGCCCUGGGAAACUUGGGAUACCGACAUUCCCUCUUGUGGAGGAUGUGUGAGCCUGGAGUCUCCACCCACCCAUUAGAGAGGAGGGGGCUUCUGGAAGCAUGAGGGCUCCACAUACUGGACACUCAGCUAUAUUCGCAGACCAGGGGGAAGUAGCCUCGACUCUUGACUAGGGACACCAGGAGGGGAGAGGCCAACGUCUGUCCGCGUUUUCAGUUCCUUUUCCCACCCCUGCUCCUCCCCAAUCCAUUCGUUCCCAGGCCCUCGAAGCACAAAAUUCCUGAAAGCUCCAACUCCCAUCUCCCGUCAUCCUCGGCGUCCCCUGACAACCAUCUCUACCCCAGGCCCUGGAAGUGGGGAAGAGUCUUCCCCUCCCUGACUUCUAGGACCCCUUCCUUAUUCCUCCGCCGGUUCCAUUCGGAGCCUUGGUCUCAGGACACCAAGGCUGAAAAUGUGAGGACUCCCUGCCUACGAUCCUUCCUCCCCCAAGACGCUGCAAGUUCCUUGGCCCCCAAAAGCCCAGAGUCGAGGGGAAUCUCUCCGCUAUAAUCUUUGGGUCCCCGGAUCCGAAGUCCCCCGCCUCCAAAACUAGGAUUCGGGCUGUCUUACCGCCCCCGGACCCAGAGCCUUCGCCCCCUCCCCCGUACUCACCCCAAGUCGAGGCGAGGCGGGGAUGGGGGAAUCCGGGACUCGAGAUAGGGGGAGGGGUGACCCAGCCCCGGCAGCUCUGGGCAGCAAGAGGCUGCGGAGGGGGGAGUGACAUCACCGCCGGAGGAGGGGCAGCACCGCUCCCCCAGCCCAGGGGCUUCAAGCUCCGCCUUUAUGGCGGACCCUGGGGUCCUUAAAUCCCAAGGGAGAGAGGAGAACCAGGAGAUGAGGUCCGAGGGAAUGCUAUCCCCGCCCCUUAGAACAGGAACUGGUAAACCCGUACCGAUUACAGCCACCCCCCACUGCCACCUGUCGCUGCCGUCGCGACCUGUCGCCUCCCACGCAUGUUGUGGCUGCGCCCGCCCCCGUCAGGGCGUAACCACAGCAUGGACUACAACGACCGUGAUGCUCCGCAGCGCCGGGAGCCUUUGACGAAAGGCAGCGUAGACGAGGGGGCUUCAUGGGACUCGUAGUACAAGACCCCUCACCAGGGUGGGCCCUGGAGAAAAGGGGUGAUACCCUUGGCCUCUCUCUCUUCCUCAACUCCGUGGGUCCAUGCACAAAGUUUCUCCUCAAAAAGUGCGCUCGGAAAAGAAGCAACCUAGGCAGGUUUGUUCAAUGGAAAUACUGGAUUUUACUGAGUAGCGUUAGCGUUGCUACCCGCUGCGCAUGCGCAAUGCCUGGGCGUCACCCGUGGAACUGCGCCUGAGCUGUCUCAGCCUGAGCCGAGCAGGUCAGCUCCGCGAGUGCGCGCGCGCGCGCGCCAGGCCCACUCGGGCGCCGCUCUUCAGGUCCCCGCGGUCGAAGACGGCCACAUACGCCCCCAAGAAGACGUCGCCGAGGAUCCACAUGGGUCCUUGAGGCGAAGGGAUGUCCAAACCCCGGAAGCCGGACAAGCAGAAGCGGAAGUCAUCCUGAACAAACUGGAUGGCGGCAAGGCGGCAACUGGGUGUCGCGGCCUCAGGGACCACCAUUUCCCUGGGAGUCUGUGUUCCCUCCGCCCCCAACCCCGGGGACAAGAGAUGAUUCUGUGGCCCCUUCCUGUCCUAGUGAUGACUAACUCCCAGCUCCACCGUCUCAAUCCCAGUCAUAUUACAUCACUGCGGCGUCAUGGUGACGGACACCUACCUGAAUGACGUAAUCCUGGGCCGUGAGAUUAAACCAGACCCCCCCAAGGAAGAGGGAGACUGCGGGGAGCUGUGGGAUUUUUGAGCACCGGAUGAUGUACUGGGAAAGAAGAGGAACAAGUUAAGAUGAGAGAUUCCUGCCCUGCUCAAAUCCUGUCUGUAAUGUACGUAUGGAGCACCUGGGCGUUCAGCACCGUGUGUGGACAACUCUGUUGCCUAGGCUUCUCAUCUAGUCCCAAACAAAACUGCAUUAUCAUCUUCCACCCACCCCCACUCCCACCUCUGCUUCCCCAUCCACUGAGCCACUCAGCAUAGACACUUGGGAAGUAUCUUUGUUUCUUCCCACCACUCUCCAGCAUGUCACUUAAGAAGCCCAGUCCCUUCGCAGGGCGCGGCGGCUCAUGACUGUAAUCCCAGCACUUUGGGAGGCCGAGGUGGGUGGAUCACCUGAGGUCAGGAGUUCGAGGCCAGCUUGGCCGAUACGGUGAAAACCUGUCUCUACUAAAAACACAAAAAUAAUUAGCUGGACGUGGUGGUGAGCACCUGUAAUCCCAGCUACUUGGGAGGCUGAGCCAGGAGAAUCGCUUCAAACCUGGAGGCAAAGGCUGCAGUGAGUCAAGAUCAUGCCAUUGCACUUCAGCCUGGGCAGCAAAAGCAAAACUCUGUCUCAAAAAAAAAGAAGGAGCCCAGUCCCCUCUGUCCUGGAUACACCCUAGCUACCUGCUUCCCACCCUCAGGCCCCAGUGUUCGCCACCAAAUUGCCACCAUCUUCCCCAGGACACACCCACCAGAAACUGUAAUCUCACCACCCCUGCCAGCAAGGGGAUUCCCCCAAUGGCUUUAUGUAGGGCCCGGAUCUCCUCAGCAGGUCCUAUGAUGACAGGUGUGCCCGUAUCCAGGAUGGCACUACAGCCCUGGGCACAGAGAGUCAGCUCUGAGCCCCACCUUCACACUGAGAGGGGAGGAGGCAGUCAGUAGAGGCAGGCUCCUAGGAGUCCAGGUCCCCAGCCUCCUGCUCCAGACCCAGGAGACUAAGUCCCUUACUGCUCCAUGUGGAUCUGCCAGUAGGCAGGGACUUCGACUGGCACAAAGGUGAGGGGUGGGAUGUAGUGUGCCUGGUCGGAGCCCCCCAGGACCAGCUCUCCUCCAUCAGCCACUUCAGGGUCCCUGCAGGGGCAGAGGUUAGAGGUCAGUGUCACUGGCCCUCCCCCUGCCAGCCCUAGCAGUGGCCAGAGAUGGGACUUCCUGCCAAUUGGGUCAGUUUAGGGGUUCUGGGUGGGGGAGGGGAAUACAAGCAGGGCCUAGAUGUUGAGACUGGAAACAAGAAAUGAAGGGAGAUGGUGCUUGUCUUGAUUGAAGUUAGGACUUUAGGAUGAUGGGUACUGCCUGAAAUGGAGAAGAGACUUCAUUUGGCUGUGGAAGGUAGAGCUUUUGGGGGAAUUUCCUGAGCUGAAUAUUGUAGUAACCAAGCAGACCAGGGAAGAAGUCUUAGAAUUGGCUCUUGAAGAUGUGACUUGUGCAGGAGUGGGGUGGCUUCCUGGGAAGGCAGAGAGACUUUCUGGAUUGCCUGUUGUGGUAUCUGUAAGGUAUUUUAGGCUGACUGACUGUGCCAUGGAUGGCAUGGUAACCUCUGUGACCUGCACAUACACUCCAGAUGAGUUCCUGGAACUAGAAAGUCUGAAGUAAAAGGAACACCACAAAAAGAGUGAGUAACUCUGCCAGGCCUAAUUGACUUUGAGACAUUCUUCUAUUGUUCCUUAUUUCCACCUCAACUGAUAAGGCAAUUGGACUUUGUAACCAACUUUGGUCAAUCUCAUGACUCCAGACCCUACGACCCCCUCCCAGCUUGCAAAAACCGCCCUGAACUGUAACUUCUGUAACUUUCCACUGCCUACCCCAAACCUAUAAAACCAACUCCUAUCCCACCACC